Molecule: ribosomal RNA, 248 nt
Filed under: uncultured bacterium
Lineage: Bacteria
Description: partial 16S ribosomal RNA
Rfam family: Archaeal small subunit ribosomal RNA
Source: RNAcentral
AACCGAGCACCUCAAGUGGUCAGGAUGAUUAUUGGGCCUAAAGCAUCCGUAGCUCGUUUUGUAAGUUUUCGGUUAAAUCCAUACGCUUAACGUAUGGGCUGCCGGGAAUACUGCAUAACUAGGAAGUGGGAGAGGUAGACGGUACUCGGUAGGAAGGGGUAAAAUCCUUUGAUCUAUUGAUGACCACCUGUGGCGAAGGCGGUCUACCAGAACACGUUCGACGGUGAGGGAUGAAAGCUGGGGGGAGC